Molecule: ribosomal RNA, 1497 nt
Filed under: uncultured Bordetella sp.
Lineage: Bacteria; Pseudomonadati; Pseudomonadota; Betaproteobacteria; Burkholderiales; Alcaligenaceae
Description: partial 16S-23S ribosomal RNA intergenic spacer
Rfam family: Bacterial small subunit ribosomal RNA
Source: RNAcentral
CUGGAGCAAUUUGUAGGCAAUUAUAGAGUCUGAUCAUGGCUCAGAUUGAACGCUGGCGGAUGCUUUACUACGUGUCGAACGGCAGCACGGACUUCGGUCUGGUGGCGAGUGGCGAACGGGUGAGUAAUGUAUCGGAACGUGCCUAGUAGCGGGGAUAACUACGCGAAAGCGUAGCCAAUACCGCAUACGCCCUUCGGGAAAGCGGGGGGACCUUUCGGGCCUCGCACUAUUAGAGCGGCCGAUAUCGGAUUAGCUAGUUGGUGGGGUAACGGCUCACCAAGGCGACGAUCCGUAGCUGGUUUGAGAGGACGACCAGCCACACUGGGACUGAGACACGGCCCAGACUCCUACGGGAGGCAGCAGUGGGGAAUUUUGGACAAUGGGGAAACCCUGAUCCAGCCACUUCCGCGCGUGCGAUGAAGGCCUCGGGGUUGUAAAGCACUUUGGCAGGAAGAAACGGCACGGGAUAAUACCCCGUGCAACUGACGGUACCUGCAGAAUAAGCACCGGCUAACUACGUGCCAGCAGCCGCGGUAAUACGUAGGGUGCAAGUGUUAAUCGGAAUUACUGGGCGUAUAAGCGUGCGCAGGCGGUUCGGAAAGAAAGGAAUCCCAGAGCUUAACUUUGGAACUGCAUUUUUAACUGAGCUAGAGUGUCAGAGGGAGGUGGAAUUCCGCGUGUAGCAGUGAAAUGGCAGUAGAUAUGCGGAGGAACACCGAUGGCGAAGGCAGCCUCCUGGGAUAACACUGACGCCUGGCGCACGAGCGCGUGGGGAGCAAUGGGAUUAGAUACCCUGGUAGUCCACGCCCUAAACGAUGUCAACUAGCUGUUAGCCUUCGGGCCUUAGUAUAGCAGCUAACGCGUGAAGUUGACUGCCUGGGGAGUACGGUCGCAAGAUUAAAACUCAAAGGAAUUGACGGGGACCCGCACAAGCGGUGGAUGAUGUGGAUUAAUUCGAUGCAACGCGAAAACCUUAACAAUUCUUUGAUAUGUCUGAAUCCCGAAGAGAUUUGGGAGUGCUCGCAAGAGAACCGGAACACAGGUGCUGCAUGGCCAAUGUCAGCUCGUGUCGUGAGAUGUUGGGUUAAGUCCCGGCAACGAGCGCAACCCUUGUCAUUAGUUGCUACGAAAGCACUCCAGACGAGACUGCCGGUGACAAACCGGAGGGGAACGGUGGGGACACGUCAAGUCCUCAUGGCCCUUAUGGGUAGGGCUUCACGUCAUACAAUGGUCGCAUUGGUGAGGUCGCCAACCUGGCGAGGGGGAGCCAAUCAGAAACCCGAUCAGGGGUCCGAUCGCACUGCAACCUCGACUGCGUGAAGUCGGGACCGCUAGUAAUCGCGGAUCAGUAUGUCGCGGUGAAUAUGUCUCCCGGGUCUUGUACACACCGCCCGUCACACCAUGGGAGUGGGUUUUACCAGAAGUAGUUAGCCUAACCGUAAGGAGGGCGAUUACCACGGUAGGAUUCAUGACUGGGGUGAAGUCGUAACAAGGUAG